Molecule: ribosomal RNA, 253 nt
Filed under: uncultured bacterium
Lineage: Bacteria
Description: partial 16S ribosomal RNA
Rfam family: Bacterial small subunit ribosomal RNA
Source: RNAcentral
UACGGAGGGUGCGAGCGUUAAUCGGAAUUACUGGGCGUAAAGCGCACGCAGGCGGAUUGUUAAGCUAGAGGUGAAAGCCCCGCGCUCAACGUGGGAAUUGCCUUUAGAACUGGCAGUCUAGAGUUUUGGAGAGGGGAGUGGAAUUCCAGGUGUAGCGGUGAAAUGCGUAGAGAUCUGGAGGAACAUCAGUGGCGAAGGCGACUCUCUGGCCAAAAACUGACGCUCAUGUGCGAAAGUGUGGGUAGCGAACAGG